Molecule: ribosomal RNA, 253 nt
Filed under: uncultured bacterium
Lineage: Bacteria
Description: partial 16S ribosomal RNA
Rfam family: Bacterial small subunit ribosomal RNA
Source: RNAcentral
UACAGAGGGGGCAAGCGUUGUUCGGAAUUACUGGGCGUAAAGGGCGCGUAGGCGGCCUUCUAAGUCGAACGUGAAAUCCCUGGGCUCAACCCAGGAACUGCGUCCGAUACUGGGAGGCUUGAAUCCGGGAGAGGGAUGCGGAAUUCCAGGUGUAGCGGUGAAAUGCGUAGAUAUCUGGAGGAAUACCGGUGGCGAAGGCGGCAUCCUGGACCGGCAUUGACGCUGAGGAGCGAAAGCCAGGGGAGCAAACGGG